CCUACGGGAGGCAGCAGUGGGGAAUAUUGGACAAUGGGCGAAAGCCUGAUCCAGCAAUGCCGCGUGAGUGAUGAAGGCCUUAGGGUCGUAAAGCUCUUUUACCAGGGAUGAUAAUGACAGUACCUGGAGAAUAAGCUCCGGCUAACUCCGUGCCAGCAGCCGCGGUAAUACGGAGGGAGCUAGCGUUGUUCGGAAUUACUGGGCGUAAAGCGUACGUAGGCGGUUAUUCAAGUCAGAGGUGAAAGCCCGGGGCUCAACCCCGGAACGGCCUUUGAAACUAGAUAGCUAGAGUCUUGGAGAGGUCAGUGGAAUUCCGAGUGUAGAGGUGAAAUUCGUAGAUAUUCGGAAGAACACCAGUGGCGAAGGCGACUGACUGGACAAGUACUGACGCUGAGGUACGAAAGCGUGGGGAGCAAACAGGAUUAGAUACCCUGGUAGUCCACGCCGUAAACGAUGAUAACUAGCUGUCCGGGUACUUGGUAUCUGGGUGGCGCAGCUAACGCAUUAAGUUAUCCGCCUGGGGAGUACGGUCGUAAGAUUAAAACUCAAAGGAAUUGACGG
RNAcentral lists this ribosomal RNA (561 nucleotides) under uncultured bacterium. Its description in RNAcentral is "bacterial SSU rRNA". It matches the Rfam family "Bacterial small subunit ribosomal RNA", at positions 338 to 916 of the family's 1533-position model. The record is from RNAcentral.